This 280-nucleotide ribosomal RNA is filed under the name uncultured bacterium. RNAcentral describes it as "partial 16S ribosomal RNA". It matches the Rfam family "Bacterial small subunit ribosomal RNA", at positions 779 to 1061 of the family's 1533-position model. The record is from RNAcentral.
UAGAUACCCGGGUAGUCCACGCCCUAAACGAUGAUAACUAAGUGUCGGGAUUUAUCUCGGUGCUGUAGCUAACGCGUUAAGUUAUCCACCUGAGGAGUACGGCCGCAAGGUUAAAACUCAAAGGAAUAGACGGGGACCCACACAAGCAGUGGAUCACGUGGUUUAAUUCGACAAUAAACGGGGAAUCUUACCCAGACUUGACAUCCUAGGAAUCUCUCAGAGAUGAGAGAGUGCUUUUAUUAGAGCCUAGUGACAGGUGCUGCAUGGCCGCCGUCAGAAG